RNAcentral lists this ribosomal RNA (269 nucleotides) under uncultured bacterium. Its description in RNAcentral is "partial 16S ribosomal RNA". It matches the Rfam family "Bacterial small subunit ribosomal RNA", at positions 335 to 622 of the family's 1533-position model. The record is from RNAcentral.
CACCUACGGGACGCAGCAGUGAGGGAUAUUGGUCAAUGGGGGAAACCCUGAACCAGCAACGCCGCGUGAGGGAAGACGGUUUUCGGAUUGUAAACCUCUGUCCUCUGUGAAGAUAAUGACGGUAGCAGAGGAGGAAGCUCCGGCUAAAUACGUGCCAGCAGCCGCGGUAAUACGUAUGGUGCACGCGUUAUCCGGAUUUACUGGGUGUAAAGGGAGCGCAGGCGGUGCGGCAAGUCUGAUGUGAAAGCCCUGGGCUCAACCCCGGGACU